Molecule: ribosomal RNA, 397 nt
Filed under: uncultured bacterium
Lineage: Bacteria
Description: partial 16S ribosomal RNA
Rfam family: Bacterial small subunit ribosomal RNA
Source: RNAcentral
AUACGUAGGUGGUAAGCGUUAUCCGGAUUUACUGGGUGUAAAGGGCGCGUAGGCGGGGGUGCAAGUCAGAUGUGAAAUCUAUGGGCUUAACUCAUAAACUGCAUUUGAAACUGUAUCUCUUGAGUGCUGGAGAGGUAGACGGAAUUCCUUGUGUAGCGGUGAAAUGCGUAGAUAUAAGGAAGAACACCAGUGGCGAAGGCGGUCUACUGGACAGUAACUGACGCUGAGGCGCGAAAGCGUGGGGAGCGAACAGGAUUAGAUACCCUGGUAGUCCACGCGGUAAACGAUGAAUGCUAGGUGUAGGGGGUAUCGACCCCUCCUGUGCCGGAGUGAACACAAUAAGCAUUCCGCCUGGGGAGUACGGCCGCAAGGUUGAAACUCAAAUGAAUUGACGGGG